This is a non-coding RNA of Camellia sinensis, 1906 nucleotides long. The record is from RefSeq and is a predicted model, not a curated record. NCBI's taxonomy places the organism in Eukaryota, Viridiplantae, Streptophyta, Magnoliopsida, Ericales, Theaceae.
AACUUUUACUGGAAAAAUUUUAUAUUAGCGCCUAAAUUUUUGCCCAAAUCUAUUACUUCUUCACACGGUUCUUUCUCUUUUUUGCUCUCCCUCUGUCUCUCUCUCUCUCACAUAGAGAAUCAAUCACCACCGCCCCUCAUCUCAGCACUGCACACGACCAGUUGGGAAGAACCCAAUCAUUGAUAUUGAGAGUUUUGGGGUUUCAAGAGUUUUGUUGCCGAGAGAGAUAUUUGGGAAGAACCCAAUCGUUGAUAUCGUCGGUGGUGGCACUCAGCCGCCGGAUGUUUCAUUUUCGCCGGAGAAUUCGCCAGAAUUGUAUGUGCCGCCGAGUCAUUUAUUAUCGUCGCUGGGUAAGAAAUCCGAUCCAAAGCGACCGGGAAUGGCGUACAAAGAUCCGUUCUUGCUCUUUGUUGUAUAGCAUUGUAUCUAUAGCUACACGGGCAUGGAGUCAACCUGUGAUAAAAGGCACACCACCGGUGCCCAAGGAUAGCCAUAGCUGUACCACUGUGGUAGAUAAUCUAUUUGUGUUUGGGGGUACAGAUGGAAUGAACCCUCUUAAGGAUUUGCAUAUCUUAGACACCUUAUCAAAUACAUAGAUCUCACCAACUAUAAGAGGUGGGGUACUAAAGGCACGGGAAGGCCACAACGCGGCACUAAUUGGCAAACGACUUUUCAUAUUUGGUGGCUGCAAAAAAUCUUCAGAUAAUUCUGAUGAAAAGCUUUAUGAUGAUCUCUACAUUUGAAUACGGGGCUCUUGAUUUGCAUGAAUCCUAGCCACUUGACCCCAGCUUUGUAGUAGUUUGAUUCAGAGAACAAAGUGGAAAAGAAAAGGUUAUUACUCACCUUCCUUCUCGUUUAUGUAGAAACUUUUGUAUGGGCAUGCGCUGUAACAUCAGGUGCUCCUCCACCUCUAAGUGUGAUAGCCAUACAUGCUCAUCUUGGAAGAGCAAAAUCAUUGUAAUUGGUGGUGAAGACGUAUAUUAUCUCUCUGAUGUUCAUAUCCUUGAUGCAGGUAUCAAUUCUUCUUGAAAUUACCCAUAUUGACUGAUUGCCAAGAUAGAAUAAAAACUAAAACUUUCAAUUUGCUUGAGCCUGUAGUAAUUAUAUCUAGUUAAUAAAUAUAGUAGUGGCACUGUUUUAAUAGAUGCUCUUAUGAGGGGGAAGCUGAACACUUCAGGCCAACUCUUGCCACCUCGAGCUGGGCAUAUAACUGUUGCCUUGGGAAAGAACUUGUUUGUCUUUGGGGGUUUCACUGAUGAGUCAAGCCUAUACGAUGACAUUCAUAUGCUUGAUGUCGGUAUGUAAUGAAAUGACCGUGCUUCUUAGGUUUAGAUCAUAAAGUUGUUAGUAUCUCUUUCUUAUCAUUGUAAACUAUACUUUUGAGUAAUAAAAUAGCCCCUGAACCACCAUGUGGCUCUCACGGGCCGCUUCCCCGAACAACCGUGUGUCUCAGACGGAUAGCUUCGCCAUGACAAAUAGGACUUGUGAAAAUUGAUGGAACGUAAUUUAGACUCGUAGGUUGGGAGUUAGAGCCAAAUACGUCCAAAACUUAGUCGGAAAAAGGGCGUUUCGGGGGCAAAAAUUCAAAACAAUCCCUGAACGACUGUGUGGCUCACACGAAUAGCUUCACCAUGACAAAUAGGACUUGUGAAAACUAACGGAACGUAAUUCAGACCCGUAGGUUGGGAGUUAGAGCUGAAUGCCCCCUAAACUUAGUUGAAAAAGGGCAUUUCGGGAGCGAAAAAUCAAAAUAGCCCCCAAACGACCGUGUGUCUCACACAGAUAGCUUCGCCAUGACAAAUAGGACUUGUGAGAAUUGACGGAACGUAAUUCGGACCCAUAGGUUGGGAGUUACAACCGAAUACGCCCUAAACUUAGUUGAAAAAGGGCGUUUCGGGGGCGAAAA